RNAcentral lists this ribosomal RNA (301 nucleotides) under uncultured bacterium. RNAcentral's name for it is "partial 16S ribosomal RNA". It matches the Rfam family "Bacterial small subunit ribosomal RNA", at positions 509 to 807 of the family's 1533-position model. The record is from RNAcentral.
CAGCAGCCACGGUAACACGGAGGGUGCAAGCGUUAAUCGGAAUUACUGGGCGUAAAGCGCACGCAGGCGGUCUGACAAGUCAGAUGUGAAAUCCCCGGGCUUAACCUGGGAACUGCAUUUGAAACUGUCAGGCUGGAGUCUUGUAGAGGGGGGUAGAAUUCCAGGUGUAGCGGUGAAAUGCGUAGAGAUCUGGAGGAAUACCGGUGGCGAAGGCGGCCCCCUGGACAAAGACUGACGCUCAGGUGCGAAAGCGUGGGGAGCAAACAGGAUUAGAUACCCGGGUAGUCCCUGUCUCUUAUAC